Non-coding RNA from Oryza glumipatula, 189 nucleotides. NCBI's taxonomy places the organism in Eukaryota, Viridiplantae, Streptophyta, Magnoliopsida, Poales, Poaceae. The record is from Rfam.
AAUAAGUGUGAUUUUACAUUGUUCAUGUCCAAUGUUAAUCGUUCGUCUUAUUUAAAUUUUUUUAUAAUUAGUUUUUUUAUUAGAUGAUAAAACAUAAAUAGUAUUUUAUGUGUGAUUUUUUUUAAAAAAAUAUUUUAAAUAAGACGGAUGGUGAAACAUUAGGCACGGUUACUCAUGGCUACACAUAUU